UGCGUCGGAACGUACCGAGUAAUGGGGGAUAACGCGGCGAAAGUCGCGCUAAUACCGCAUACGCCCUGAGGGGGAAAGCGGGGGAUCGCAAGACCUCGCGUUAUUCGAGCGGCCGACGUCUGAUUAGCUAGUUGGUGGGGUAAAGGCUCACCAAGGCGACGAUCAGUAGCGGGUCUGAGAGGAUGAUCCGCCACACUGGGGCUGAGACACGGCCCAGACUCCUACGGGAGGCAGCAGUGGGGAAUUUUGGACAAUGGGGGCAACCCUGAUCCAGCCAUUCCGCGUGAGUGAAGAAGGCCUUCGGGUUGUAAAGCUCUUUCAGCUGGAGCGAAACGGUACGCUCUAACAUAGCGUGCUAAUGACGGUACCAGCAGAAGAAGCACCGGCUAACUACGUG
This 397-nucleotide ribosomal RNA is filed under the name uncultured beta proteobacterium. RNAcentral describes it as "bacterial SSU rRNA". It matches the Rfam family "Bacterial small subunit ribosomal RNA", at positions 114 to 507 of the family's 1533-position model. The record is from RNAcentral. Lineage: Bacteria; Pseudomonadati; Pseudomonadota; Betaproteobacteria.